This is a long non-coding RNA of Paramormyrops kingsleyae, 3398 nucleotides long. RefSeq lists it as uncharacterized. NCBI's taxonomy places the organism in Eukaryota, Metazoa, Chordata, Actinopteri, Osteoglossiformes, Mormyridae. The record is from RefSeq and is a predicted model, not a curated record.
UUAUCUCUGCACAGUAGUCAGAUCGAUAUUCUUUCAAAGCCCUUCGAGUUCAGAACGUGAAUAAGUGGGUUAAGCUGUAGAGGGAAAAAAAAGCGAAAAGCUUUUGAAUUUCAGUUGAUUAGUAAAAACUGGACUGAGACGUCCGAGUUUUCUGAAGGAUUCUUCUUCGUUGGUGGAAUUUUUUAUUUUUUUUUUCCUUUUCAUGUCCAGGAUGUUGCAGGAUUAUUUAUUUUUGUUUUCCUUUUGUGAUAUCAGUUUAAAUCACUGUACAAAUGCCCCAUCAUUAAAUUGAAAUAUUUUUUAUAUUUUUUUCUUUGGUUUCCUGACUUUUAUGUUUGUUUUUUUUUUUUGUUCCUUUUUUACAUGUAACUACCUCACUCUUUUGUAAAAUGUGUAGAAAACGGUCACCUGUAAUCCAUCCCCUGCUCUCCUCACCCACUAGUCUUUUAUGGACAAUGUUACUGUUCUCUCUGUGUUUGGUGGACCUCCUGAAGAACGCGGCCUCGUUUGCAGGCCCGUGGAGUGAAGGGGGGGGUAUCAUUAGAGGCCAGCUUCGCCACCCGGACCCCUCCAGGGCCAGCAUGUGAAUGAAUGGCUUGCUUCAGCCCGUCCUAUCACUGUGCAGUCCUGAGAAGAUCCCCAUCCAGACGGUGUUCCGGGGAGCGCUCAGUAGAUCUCUGCAGCAGCAGCUAGACGAGCCCCCCCUCCACUCUGCCACAGCCACCUGUCCUCCGAUAAAUCCGCUGGCAGUGAUGGUUUUGUCAAAUUCACAGGAACGACAGAAAGAGCCGGCGACGAUCUGUGAUUGGGCAGCUGCUUUGGAUGCCGUUAUGAUGUCAUGCGUCACCUUGUCGCCACGACGACGGGAACAGCCGGAAGCUGCUGCGGCUUUAGUUCCGGCACGCCAAAGCAUUUGCCCCCCCAUGCUUAAUCAGUAACAGCCCCCCCCCCCCAUAGUGAAAGUCCUGCGUGUGACAGUUAUUGAAUUACUUUUAAACGCUUUUUAAAAAUCCCAUGAAUUACAUGUGGGGCAUUAAAUCAUUCUGCAACCAAUCAUGAACAUUUGCGGAGUUUUAUCUCUCCUUUUUAUACUGCCAGUAGAAUCUGGAGACUUGGCAGAAGGGAUCUUACAGAAACCGUGACUAGACAGUCCCGCUAAUGUGACUGUCCUGCAUGUCCUAAUUCCCAGCAGCCCCUAGUCUUGGGGACGAGGACAGCUGGCGGACCGACUGUGAAUGACAUGCCUUCCUCAGCUACCUGCUUUGCCCCCAUGAGAUGCAGUGAAGAAACUGACUUCAGAAGCUGUCAUUCCUGACCUCCGUCCAGCCAUCCUCCUUCAUACACGUGCGUCUUCCUGUCCAGAUACGCUCCAGGCGGUGGUGAUCCUGUCGACCUUCUGUCUUUCAUGCCAUUCCAGUCCAUUGAUGGGGAGAAGCCUGCAUCUGCCACCUUCAUCUCCAUGGAGGGACAGGUGGUGGGCGGGGCCUGUCACUGGCUCCUCCUUCUGCUCCACCUGCUGCUGUUGGCCGGGCCCAUUUUUGCUGCCAAGUGGCUUCCUGGGCGAUUCUGUACUGGAAGAUACCAUUAUUUUAUAGUGACAAAGGAUCUAUGUCAAAAUUUAUCAAAAUGAAGAUUAAACCAGGGAUGCUGAAGAUACAGAAGUCAUAUUUCUAUUUUUUAGAAGUCUGAGACAGGGAUAACAAGUAAUAAUGGGAAGGUAUACUUUACAUUUUUCCUUUGGAUUGAAAUUGGGGGAUAGUGAGUUGAGACUCGAGCAUUCCUGGAUUAAAAUUGGUUUUAUUUGGCACUAGUUGAGGGAAACAGGAUCUCCUGAAAGCCUUUCGGCAGGGCUGAUCAGGUAAAUGCAUGUCACAGGGUUACCUCCAGCUCCACGCUUUCUACCAGUUGGUUAUUGGUUACUACACUGUGCGGCUGUGAUUGAAGCAGUCAGUGCGCGUGUUCUGCAGAUGUAGGUCAUGAUAGUAGCCAGCGGUCAGAUGGGGAUCGAUCAUGUCUUGUUAUAGAAUCUGUAGGUCGUUUCUUCACCGCCAUUUCUUUGAAAGUGGCGAGGAGUCAGCUCAGUAUUGUUAAGGCUUCCUUGGAGUUCUGCGUGUGUCGUUCUUGGGAUUAAAUAAGAUGUAGAAGCAGGUCAAUGACAUUGUAAGACUAGUUCUGCGGUUAAUGAAUUUACCAUCUCCCAUGUUGCAGUUGGCCAUCCUGGUUUCCUAGAGGGAAUUUGAUUUGCAGGUUUAGCUGUAAUAUAUCUUUUUUUCUUGUUCUGCAUUAGUGAUUUAGUUGGAUGGCUGGUAGCAACCCACAGCCUGAUUUCUGUAUCUGAUGGUUCCUGGUUUAAACUCAAACUGUCACAUGGUAUCGCCACGGUCUUUGGGUUUGUAUCUGCAAUCCCAGUAAUGGAGGUUGGCGUUUUUUUUUGUUUGUUUGUUUUUUGUGCAAACUGAAAUGUCAGGUCUGUCCGUAUCUCCUAGACACCUGCUAGUUUCAGAACCCAGUCAAUCAGCAUUAAUGAAAUGCCACAGAACGUGGCGGCUGCAAUGUAGCCAGCAGCUCUGGGGGUGAAAUGGGCCAAUUGGCUUGGUCCCUUUGAGGGGGAAGGGGGUGUUUUGUACAGACAUCUAAGAAAUAAAUGUCUCUUUCAGGGUUUAGUGAUGACUGACUGUCAGUUGUUUCCAUUUCACCACCAUGGCCCAGCUGCAUUUUCAGAGCAGCUCAGAAUUUACGGGCCAGAAAAACUCACAAAAAUGCAAAUAUUUUUCACACUGUGUCCAUAGUAAGAGAUGGGGACAGACCAGGCUUCAGGGUGUAUCUCCUGGUCUUCUGGGAGAUAGCUAACUGUACAGACAAGACCUGGAAUUCGGUCAAUUUGCCUGAGGUCAGAUGAUGGAGCGCGGCGCAGAGGGACAGCGCCCACCUACCGGAUGUGUCCCAGACGCCUCCUGCUGGCCUCCUCACCCCCCCCCAGCAUCUCUGACCACCUGUAGCUGGGUGCUGACGGUGUCCAGCAGGCAUCAGUUUCCUCAGUUUAACCACUGGAAAGACACGCAGAACUGACAUUGUACAGUUUCCUUUUUCACACUUUUUUAAAAAUCUUGUUUGAUCAGAUCAGAAAGCUGGCCAAUAUCUAGAAUUUGCUGUAUGUAAAUUAUUCAUUCAGAUUCCUGUGUUUAUAUUAAAUGAUUCAGUAGAGUGAGAAGGUUUCGAGUUUUUGUAUAUUCUGUUCUAAGAAUUUAUUCCUGCUAUCAAUAUUAUCUGAAUUCUUUACAUUACGGGGAAACUGAACAGUCUUUGGCUGAAAAAGAAGAGAAUUUUAGUUUCUCAAUCUUGCUUUUUUCUAGUAAAAUACUACAAGUUCUAAGUUAAAUAAAAAAGUAUGCAACUCU